RNAcentral lists this ribosomal RNA (466 nucleotides) under uncultured Elusimicrobia bacterium. Its description in RNAcentral is "partial 16S ribosomal RNA". It matches the Rfam family "Bacterial small subunit ribosomal RNA", at positions 338 to 794 of the family's 1533-position model. Lineage: Bacteria; Pseudomonadati; Elusimicrobiota; Elusimicrobia. The record is from RNAcentral.
CCUACGGGGGGCAGCAGUCGGGAAUUUUGGACAAUGGGCGAAAGCCUGAUCCAGCGACGCCGCGUGCAGGAUGAAGUCCUUCGGGAUGUAAACUGCUGUCGGGCGGAACGAAUGACCCCGAUUCUAAUACAAUCGGGGAGUGACGGUACCGCCGAAGGAAGCACCGGCUAACUCUGUGCCAGCAGCCGCGGUAAGACAGAGGGUGCAAGCGUUGUUCGGAUUGACUGGGCGUAAAGGGCGUGUAGGUGGUUAAGUAAGUCCGUUGUGAAAACAUCAUCGCUUAACGGGAUGUCCGCAUCGGAAACUGCUUUACUUGAGUAUAGGAGAGGAGAACGGAAUUCCGGGUGUAGCGGUGGAAUGUGUAGAUAUCAGGAGGAACACCGGUGGCGAAGGCGGUUCUCUGGCCUAAUACUGACACGGAGGCGCGAAAGCGAGGGGAGCAAACGGGAUUAGAUCCCCGGGUAGU